RNAcentral lists this ribosomal RNA (253 nucleotides) under uncultured bacterium. RNAcentral's name for it is "partial 16S ribosomal RNA". It matches the Rfam family "Bacterial small subunit ribosomal RNA", at positions 524 to 776 of the family's 1533-position model. The record is from RNAcentral.
UACGUAGGGGGCAAGCGUUGUCCGGAAUCAUUGGGCGUAAAGCGCGUGUAGGCGGCUCGAUAAGUCUGCUGUGAAAGUCCAGGGCUCAACCCUGGGAUGCCGGUGGAUACUGUCGAGCUCGAGUCCGGAAGAGGCGAGUGGAAUUCCUGGUGUAGCGGUGAAAUGCGCAGAUAUCGGGAGGAACACCUAUGGCGAAGGCAGCUCGCUGGGACGUUACUGACGCUGAGACGCGAAAGCGUGGGGAGCAAACAGG